Molecule: ribosomal RNA, 301 nt
Filed under: uncultured bacterium
Lineage: Bacteria
Description: partial 16S ribosomal RNA
Rfam family: Bacterial small subunit ribosomal RNA
Source: RNAcentral
CAGUCGCGCGGUAAUACAGAGGGUGCGAGCGUUAAUCGGAUUUACUGGGCGUAAAGCGUGCGUAGGCGGCUUUUUAAGUCGGAUGUGAAAUCCCUGAGCUUAACUUAGGAAUUGCAUUCGAUACUGGGAAGCUAGAGUAUGGGAGAGGAUGGUAGAAUUCCAGGUGUAGCGGUGAAAUGCGUAGAGAUCUGGAGGAAUACCGAUGGCGAAGGCAGCCAUCUGGCCUAAUACUGACGCUGAGGUACGAAAGCAUGGGGAGCAAACAGGAUUAGAUACCCCAGUAGUCCCUGUCUCUUAUACA